GAUGAACGCUGGCGGCGUGCCUAAUACAUGCAAGUCGAGCGAACAGACGAGGAGCUUGCUCCUUUGACGUUAGCGGCGGACGGGUGAGUAACACGUGGGUAACCUACCUAUAAGACUGGGAUAACUUCGGGAAACCGGAUCUAAUACCGUAUAAUAUUUCGAACCGCAUGGUUCGAUAGUGAAAGAUGGCUUUGCUAUCACUUAUAGAUGGAUCUGCGCCGUAUUAGCUAGUUGGUAAGGUAACGGCUUACCAAGGCAACGAUACGUAGCCGACCUGAGAGGGUGAUCGGCCACACUGGAACUGAGACACGGUCCAGACUCCUAAGGGAGGCAGCAGUAGGGAAUCUUACGCAAUGGGCGAAAGCCUGACGGAGCAACGCCGCGUGAGUGAUGAAGGUCUUCGGAUCGUAAAGCUCUGUUAUUAGGGAAGAACAAACGUGGAAGUAACUGUGGACGGAUUGACGGUACCUAAUCAGAAAGCCACGGCUAACUACGUG
Molecule: ribosomal RNA, 497 nt
Filed under: uncultured bacterium
Lineage: Bacteria
Description: partial 16S ribosomal RNA
Rfam family: Bacterial small subunit ribosomal RNA
Source: RNAcentral